Microtus ochrogaster (prairie vole) is the source of this 107-nucleotide small nuclear RNA. The record is from Ensembl. NCBI's taxonomy places the organism in Eukaryota, Metazoa, Chordata, Mammalia, Rodentia, Cricetidae.
GUGCUCAUUUCAGCAGCACAGAAACUAAAACUGGAACAAAACAGAGAAGAGUAGCACGGCCUCUGUGCAAGGAUAACAUGCAAGUUCGUGAAAUAUUUCAUUAAAAA